GUCCGCGAUGUCGUGAGGUCUGUGAUCGAUUCCGAUUUCGAGGAAUCGCGAUUUCGCAAGGUCCCGCGAUAUAGUCGAAAUCGCGGACAUUCGAUUCGCAGCAAGCCGGUGAGGAGUGUCGUUAUGUUUCAUCGCGAUGUUGGGUUCUGUUUCAUCACGGUUAUGUUUUAUCACGAUGGGUUCCAUAACUCGCAAUGUGUUCUGUUUCACAGCAGAACCACCUUCCACUCGUGAUGGGUUCACGAUGGAUUCCGACAUCGCAGAUGGGUUCAACGGACGGUCACGACGCAUCUAGGCAACGGACGGUUAGAUAUGGUGACCGUCGUAAGUGCCUUACCGAACACGUACCGUUCCGGAAGUUUUCCCUAUAUA
Molecule: long non-coding RNA, 372 nt
Filed under: Zostera marina
Lineage: Eukaryota; Viridiplantae; Streptophyta; Magnoliopsida; Alismatales; Zosteraceae
Description: long non-coding RNA (ZMAR_LNC005517)
Source: RNAcentral